GGUAUAGCUAUAAAGAAUUAUAUAAUAAUAACUAUUAUAUAAUAAUCUAUUAAUAAGUAAUAUAAUAAGUUAUAUAACAAUAACUGUUAUAUAAUAUAUACAUAAUAGAAUAAACUACUUUUUAUAAACAUAUACUAAAAAAUAAAUAACUUUAAGAUAUAUAAUUGUUAUUUAUAUAAAUACAAGUAUAAAAAGGGAUUAUUAUGGAAUUUUAGCUGUAUAUUAAAGAGAAAGUAAAAUAAAGAUGAUAUAAUAAGGCUAUUCUAGUAAUAAUAAAUCAUAAUUUAAAUUAACUCUAAGAGAAAUCUUUUAAUAAACGAAGCGAAUUGAAAUAUCUUAGUAGCUUUAGGAAUAUAAAUCAAAAGAGAUUCUACAAAUAGCGUGAGUGAAAGUAGAUAAGUCUAAAAAGUAAAAUGGUUGAUAAACUGUUUGUAUAGGGGAACCUUCCUCAAAGACUAAAUAUAAUAUAUAAGCGAUAGUGGUUGAGUACCAUGAGGGAACAAAGAUAAAUAGUAAUUUUAUAAGCAGUUCGAAGCGUAAGCUAAAGAACGUACCUUUUGCAUAAUGGGUCACCAAGUUAACAUUAGAUGCGAGAAAAUACGUAGAUAAACCGGACGUUAAAAUAACGCCAGAGUGUCUAAAGUUAGACCCGAAGCCAGGUGAUUUUACCAUAGUCAGGAUUAUAAAAGUCCGAACGGGUUGUUGUAGCAAUAACAUCCGAAGAACUGUGGUAGGUGUAGUGAAAGACAACACUGACUUGGAUAGCUGGUUUUCUGCGAAACCUAUAAUAGUAGGAAAUUUAAGUAAAUAUAUCUUAGCAGGUACAGAAAUUAAUCUCAGACAAGGCAAUUUCGUCUUAUUUUGUACAAAUUGGGGGAUCAUAAAGAUUUUAUCAGUGAGUAUGCAGACUCGGAAUGGCAAAGAUAUAACUUGAAUUAUCAGACAUAGUAUGAUAAGGUAGUAUGUCAAAAGGGAAACAGCCCAGAACAAGAAUUAAGGUUCCUAAAUUAUAGUUAAGUGAAAUGAAGAAGGUCUUUAUUCAAGUCGACAAGGAGAUAGGCUUAGAAGCAGCCACAAUUUUAUGAUCUCGUAACAGAGCGCUUGUUAAGUUAUAAAGGCAUCAAUAAUAUAACGGAUCUAAACUAUAUACCGAAAUCUUGUCCAUAAAAUGUUAUAAUAAAUAGGUAGCUGCUUCUUAGGCAUGCCAGUAAUAUAAUAAUUUUAUGGGGUAGCAGAACGUUGAGUUAAAUUAUGACUUUUAUUUUUUAAAUAAAACUAUAAUGAUCGAACUCAAGUGAUAAUGGUGACAUGAGUAACUAAAAGAAAAUUUAUUUUCCGCCUUAAGCUUAUGGCUAGAUUUAAGUAACGGCCUCUAAGUUUAGAUAUAAUCUAAAGAUUUAAACGAUGAGAAAAUCUUUUUUACUAAUGACGACAUUUUAAGUGAAAAAUGUACUGGAAAAAUAGUAAUAUAUUCGUUCAUAGCUGUAGCAUUAGUUACAGCUAGUAAACGGAUGAAAAAUAACCGUACCUAGAUACUGAAACAAGUAAGCAAGUAGAGUAUACGAAGGCGUGAUUGAGCUAACAAUCAUAAAGGAACUCGGCAAAUUGACUACUGUAACUUCGGAAUAAAGAGGGCUCAUUAUUCUUGAUUAAUAUCAAGUAAAGAGGAAGAAGCAUGGAAUAAUGUUGUACGACUGUUUAAUUAAAACACAGCACUUUGCUUAAAGAUAAAAAAAUCUAUGUAUAAAGUGUGAAAUCUGCCCGGUGCCGGCUGGUUAAUGAAGAUAAUUAAAUGAUCUAACAUUUGAUGUUGACAGAACCCCCGGUUAAAGGCGGCCUUAACGUGAGGGUCCUAAGGUAGCGAAAUGCCUUGGCCGUUAAAUGCGGUCUUGCAUGAAUGGUGUAACGAUACAACAGCUGUCUCUAUGAUUGACUCAGUGAAAUUGGAAUAGCUGUGCAGAUACAGCUUACCUCUAGUUAGACGAGAAGACCCUAUGCAGCUUUACUGUUACUAAUUAUAGAAUAUGAUAAACAUCUUUCAGACUAAAAGGGAAUAGAUAAUAUAAACAUGAGAAACCUUUAUUUUUUUUUCAUACGAAUGAGAGGGUUUAAGACUUUGAAAGCAUUAGCUUUUAAUGUUUUAAAUACAACUAGUCUCUGCCUAUUUUAUAUAUAUAUCUUUAUAUAUAAAUAGGUACCCUUAGAUAAGGAACUAUGAUUAGGAGACAGUUUAUGUGGGGCACAGACCCUGUAAAGAGUAAACAGGAGUGUCUAAUAAUUUACAAUAAUUUUGUUUGUAAUUUUGGGUAGUUUAACUAUUCUUAAUCAUAUACAUUUAAUUAUAUAUACGUUGUACUACUGUAUAACUUCCUAUAUAUUUAAAAAAAGGUAGGAUUUUUACUAUAUAGAAAUUAGAGAUAAUUGAAAAGAUUACUUAAUAAUUUUUUCUAGCUAUUAAUUUAAUAAUAGUGGUGAUAAUAUCUAGAAAGCUCAACGGCUAAAUCUUGCCUUACUGUUUGAUUAUCUACAAAUCUUACAGUUGCGUAAGCAGGGCAUAGGAUCACAAGAUGCAAUAAGGAAAGAUCUUGGAUUAUUGGAAAAGCUACGCUAGGGAUGUUUGUCCUUUAAUAUUUUAUGAGUUUUAACAACAAUCAUAAAAUAAUUGAUACAAAUUGGGUAAAUUUCAAGAAUUACUAAGUUUAGUAAAUUUGAAGCGAAGUUUAUUUUAGCAUAAUUAUAAAAUAAAAACGUUCAACGACUAUAAGGUGAGUGUUUAUGCAUAAUACACAAUAAUCCUUUAUUACUACCCAACAUUUUUAUAAUCUAUUAAUAUACUAAUAAAUAAAAGAAAAAAAAAAAGAAUGAAUGAAAAAU
Molecule: ribosomal RNA, 2874 nt
Filed under: Clonostachys rosea
Lineage: Eukaryota; Fungi; Ascomycota; Sordariomycetes; Hypocreales; Bionectriaceae
Description: bacterial LSU rRNA
Rfam family: Bacterial large subunit ribosomal RNA (bases 181-2669)
Source: RNAcentral